RNAcentral lists this ribosomal RNA (551 nucleotides) under uncultured bacterium. RNAcentral's name for it is "partial 16S ribosomal RNA". It matches the Rfam family "Bacterial small subunit ribosomal RNA", at positions 355 to 895 of the family's 1533-position model. The record is from RNAcentral.
UGGGGAAUUUUGGACAAUGGGCGAAAGCCUGAUCCAGCAAUGCCGCGUGUGUGAAGAAGGCCUUCGGGUUGUAAAGCACUUUUGUCCGGAAAGAAAUCCUUGGCUCUAAUACAGUCGGGGGAUGACGGUACCGGAAGAAUAAGCACCGGCUAACUACGUGCCAGCAGCCGCGGUAAUACGUAGGGUGCAAGCGUUAAUCGGAAUUACUGGGCGUAAAGCGUGCGCAGGCGGUUUGCUAAGACCGAUGUGAAAUCCCCGGGCUCAACCUGGGAACUGCAUUGGUGACUGGCAGGCUAGAGUAUGGCAGAGGGGGGUAGAAUUCCACGUGUAGCAGUGAAAUGCGUAGAGAUGUGGGAGGAAUACCGAUGGCGAAGGCAGCCCCCCUGGGGCCAAAUACUGACGCUCAUGCACGAAAGCGUGGGGAGCAAACAGGAUUAGAUACCCUGGUAGUCCACGCCCUAAACGAUGUCAACUAGUUGUUGGGGAUUCAUUUCCUUAGUAACGUAGCUAACGCGUGAAGUUGACCGCCUGGGGAGUACGGUCGCAAGAUU